GGAGUUGUGGCUCAGUGGUAGAACAUCUGUUUUACAUGCAGAUUUUCCUGGGCUUAAUAUCUGGCAUCUCUA
This 72-nucleotide transfer RNA is filed under the name Sphaerodactylus townsendi. RNAcentral describes it as "tRNA-Val". It matches the Rfam family "tRNA". Rfam says of the family: Transfer RNA (tRNA) molecules are approximately 80 nucleotides in length. Their secondary structure includes four short double-helical elements and three loops (D, anti-codon, and T loops). Lineage: Eukaryota; Metazoa; Chordata; Lepidosauria; Squamata; Sphaerodactylidae. The record is from RNAcentral.